UAGGUCAUUGUGUGCCAUAUACAUUCGUUGUUCUUGUAAUCAAAUGGUAUGGAGAUACUGGUAUGACAUGCAGGUGAGAUGUCGGGGUACAUCGUCACUGAACGUGACCAACUGCGGAGCACUUUGCUGUCAAAGAUAGCUCACAAAAGAUAUGGGUAUAAGUAUCCCUCCGACCUGAGAUCACCACGAUGACUUACAAGCAACUCACUGUACUUUGGUGUCAGACUAAUUGAGUUUUUAAUUCAGUGAUGAAAGAUUUUUGGAUACAGUCAAAUACUUGUCAAGUCGGUGCAUGAGUCAAGAUGGGAUUGAUCCCUCUGAAUUAGUAGAAGAUAUGCAUCAGUGUAUUUCAAUUUAGCAAAACCUAGAUCCGGAUAAUCCAUGUGAUGGAUUUAAAAAAGAUUAAAAUAUAAUAUGGAUGACUUAUCUAGGAUUGAUAGUUAAAUUUUAAGUCAUCCUUAUGCAUUAGGGUC
This 473-nucleotide long non-coding RNA is filed under the name Elaeis guineensis (African oil palm). RNAcentral's name for it is "long non-coding RNA (EGUI_LNC069997)". The record is from RNAcentral. Lineage: Eukaryota; Viridiplantae; Streptophyta; Magnoliopsida; Arecales; Arecaceae.